GUUCUUUACGAUUUCAGCGGAAUAGGGUUAUUCGCAAUUCCAUUACUAAGUGGAUGUUUUACAGUGAAGAUUGUACUCGGAGUUACACAAAUUCAUCUCGUGUAGAAUGAAAUUAAUUCUUUUAUUAUUCAUCCCAGACAAGUUUAUUAUCCUAUGAACGUGCUGUUCAAACGAAAAGCUUUCCGAGUUUCAGGUUUUUCCUUUUUUUAUGGGAAUUUCUCAACUCAUUGGAUGGCAAACGAGACCUACGAAGCUCUCUGUAUUUGUGUACAUCGAUCUGGGAUUAGUGUUUUUUGUGGAUUCCUUAAUGACUGCAGAGUUAAAGAGACGAUGAAGAUCUCUGAAUGCUUGAAUAAUACUCACAAUGAAAUAUACGGUUCUAUUCGGUCAGAGGGUCACUCGGAGCAUUUCCUAUUUUCGCUAUAUUUCACGGUCUCUGUGUGACAGUAGCUUCAGAGACGGUGGCAGUGACAUAGGGUGUGAAGUUUGUGAUGGUUUCUCAAAGGGAGGUGGUCCAAGACUGGAUUUUGAUUCGACUCUGCAAAAGGAUCCUACUGAGACGCUCCCCGAAAUGUCCAUUGCAGGAAUUCAUGACAAUGACGAAAAUGGUUCUCAGGAAGAUUUGUCCCCUCAGCAGAAAAUUUUCAAGGAUGUCAGGUUGGAUGCUGAUAGAAUUAUGGAUAUUCUCCACCAAGAUGAGCCGGGUUUUGAUGUUAGAUCGGCUCUGGAUGAGUUGCAACUUAGAGUGUCAACUUUCCUUGUCAGAGAAGUUCUUAAAAGGAUUUUGAAAAUUAUAAAUCAUACAAAUAAGAAUCGCUGCGCAAAGUUGAGUUACAAGUUCUUCAUAUGGGCCAGUCUGCAAAGUAACUAUAGCCACACCUCGAACACCUACCAUUUGCUUAUGAGUAUCUUUGCAAAUUGCCAGGAGUGGAAGGCAAUUGGGAGAUUAGUUGAUCAGAUGACUGAAGAUGGGUUGCCAACUACUGCCAGAACAUUUAACAUCUUAAUAUGUACUUUCAGUGAGGCAGGUAUGAGAAGGAGAUUAGUGGAGAGGUUCAUCAAAUCAAAGACAUUUAGUUAUAGGCCAUUCAAGCACUCCUACAAUGCAAUUCUACAUUCUCUUCUGGCAGUGAACCAAUACAAUUUGAUUGAGUGGUUGUACCAGCAAAUGCUUGUUGAUAAGCAUUCUCCUGAUGUUCUAACUUACAAUAUACUUUUAUGUGCGAAGUAUAGACUGGGAAAGUUUAAUGAGUUCCAGACAGUGCUUGACGAUAUGCUUAGAAGUGGGCUUUCCCCAGAUUUCCACACAUACAACAUCUUACUUCAUGUGCUUGGGAAAGAUGACAAACCUUGUGCAGCUCUUAAGCUAUUAAAUCACAUGAAAGAAGUUGGUUGUGAGCCAAACAUUCUCCAUUUCACCACAUUGAUGGAUGGGCUGAGUCGGGCUGGAAAUUUGGUUGCCUGCCGGUAUUUUUUUGAUGAGAUGGUGAGGAAAGGGUACAUGCCAGAUGUGGUGUGUUACACGGUCAUGAUCACUGGAUACAUUGUUGCCGGGGAGCUUGAGAAUGCACAAAAAAUGUUUGAUGAGAUGAUUGUCAAAGGGCAGCUACCGAAUGCCUAUACAUACAAUUCCAUGAUACGUGGUCUUUGCAUGGCCCAGAAGUUUGAAGAGGCAUAUGCAAUACUGGAUGAAAUGGAAUCUAGAGGUUGCAAUCCAAAUUUCAUUGUUUACAGAACUCUAGUAGCUAAUCUGCGGAAUGCUGGAAAGGUGGAUGAAGCUUAUAAAGUGAUAGAACAAAUGGUACAGAAGGGGCACUAUAUCCAUCUUCGCUCGAAACUUGAGGGAUAUGUUAAAGAAUUUAGAUGGAGGGUUGUGUACAAGUAGAAGAUUCUUUUUUCAUGACCUCACAAGGAGGCACUUAUUUAUUGUUACCCUGGUUCAAUUAUGGCCUGUGCUGGCUUAUGCUCAUUCCAAACUUCACAGAAGUUUAACAGUACGGCUAUUACAAUGGUCAUAUCUCUGUAAAAACUGCAGAUGAUCAAGCAAUAUUAAAAUGAAUCAAAAGCAAAUCUAAUGCUAUGAGCUGGUCAACUAGUAAAAUCACCUUGAAAGCUCCAAACUUUGAUGUGUACAAUAGUUUAGGGAGCAUCCUUAGCCCAGGUCCCAGUGUAAAAUUUUGAUCCUGAUUUAGGCAUGGUUCUGUUUUGAAUCUUGAAACUGCAUAAAUUGGAACUUUAGAUGAAGCUGCCUUCUUGUUAUGGUGAUCGAUCAUGCUAGGACGGAGGGCAAUUCCAUUGACCAUCCCAACACCAAAUCCUCACAGUAUGCUUCUGCCAAGCUAAGCCU
Telopea speciosissima is the source of this 2347-nucleotide RNA transcript. It is a transcript of the gene named pentatricopeptide repeat-containing protein At3g60050-like, with no coding region annotated. The transcript is spliced from 3 exons. The record is from RefSeq and is a predicted model, not a curated record. NCBI's taxonomy places the organism in Eukaryota, Viridiplantae, Streptophyta, Magnoliopsida, Proteales, Proteaceae.